UAAGCCCCAGUAAACGGCGGCCGUAACUAUAACGGUCCUAAGGUAGCGAAAUUCCUUGUCGGGUAAGUUCCGACCCGCACGAAAGGCGUAAUGAUCUGGGCACUGUCUCAACAAUAGACUCGGUGAAAUUGUAGUACCGGUAAAGAUGCCGGUUACCCGCAGCAGGACGGAAAGACCCCGUGGAGCUUUACUGUAGCUUGAUAUUGAGUUUCGGCGUUGCAUGUACAGGAUAGGUGGGAGACUAUGAAGCAAGUACGCCAGUAUUUGCGGAGUCAUCGUUGGGAUACCACCCUUGUAACGCUGGAAUUCUAACCAUGUACCGUGAACCGGUGCUGAGACAGUGUCAGGUGGGCAGUUUGACUGGGGCGGUCGCCUCCUAAAGAGUAACGGAGGCGCCCAAAGGUUCCCUCAGCGCGGUCGGAAAUCGCGCGUAGAGUGCAAAGGCAGAAGGGAGCUUGACUGCGAGACAUACAAGUCGGGCAGGGACGAAAGUCGGGCUUAGUGAUCCGGUGGUUCCGAGUGGAAGGGCCAUCGCUCAACGGAUAAAAGCUACCCCGGGGAUAACAGGCUGAUACCCCCCAAGAGUUCACAUCGACGGGGGUGUUUGGCACCUCGAUGUCGGCUCGUCUCAUCCUGGGGCUGAAGUAGGUCCCAAGGGUUGGGCUGUUCGCCCAUUAAAGAGGUACGCGAGCUGGGUUCAGAACGUCGUGAGACAGUUCGGUCCCUAUCCGCUGUGGGCGUUGGAAAUUUGAGAGGAGCUAUCCUUAGUACGAGAGGACCGGGAUGGACAUACCUCUGGUGUAUCGGUUGUUCUGCCAAGGGCAUAGCCGGGUAGCUACGUAUGGAAGGGAUAAGCGCUGAAAGCAUCUAAGUGCGAAGCCCACCUCAAGAUAAGAUUUCCUCCGAAAGGUAAGACCCGUGAGAGACUAUCACGUUGAUAGGUCAGAGGUGUAAGUACGGUAACGUAUUCAGCUGACUGAUACUAAUAGGUCGAACACUUGACCAA
RNAcentral lists this ribosomal RNA (1006 nucleotides) under human oral metagenome. RNAcentral describes it as "bacterial LSU rRNA". It matches the Rfam family "Bacterial large subunit ribosomal RNA", at positions 1914 to 2925 of the family's 2925-position model. The record is from RNAcentral.